This 264-nucleotide long non-coding RNA is filed under the name Prunus dulcis (almond). RNAcentral describes it as "sRNA ncRNA". The record is from RNAcentral. Lineage: Eukaryota; Viridiplantae; Streptophyta; Magnoliopsida; Rosales; Rosaceae.
GAAGAUCAUACAUGAGACAAAACAUGAAAUAUCUUCUGCAAAAGGAACACAGAGUCCAAAUAUAUCACCGCAUACAACUUACAAGAACAGUAGAAUCAUUCCCAAAACGAUUAUCUUUCUAUACAUUGUUAACUGCCUAUUAAACUAAGGAUGUUCCUUAGCACUGUUUGGGGCCAACUUUUCAAUUUCUUUUUCAGGUUGCCUCUUUGCUCCAAAGAUGAAGUCUUUCACAGAACUUUCAGCAGACUGUAUCGCCCUCUUAAC